Molecule: ribosomal RNA, 261 nt
Filed under: uncultured bacterium
Lineage: Bacteria
Description: partial 16S ribosomal RNA
Rfam family: Bacterial small subunit ribosomal RNA
Source: RNAcentral
CGACCGGCGCACGGGUGAGUAACACGUAUGCAACCUGCCCUCUUCAGGGGGACAACCUUCCGAAAGGGAGGCUAAUCCCGCGUAUAUCGGUUUCGGGCAUCCGAGAUCGAGGAAAGAUUCAUCGGAAGAGGAUGGGCAUGCGGCGCAUUAGCUAGACGGCGGGGUAACGGCCCACCGUGGCGACGAUGCGUAGGGGUUCUGAGAGGAAGGUCCCCCACACUGGUACUGAGACACGGACCAGACUCCUACGGAAGGCAGCAG